This is an RNA transcript of Ostrea edulis (European flat oyster), 4617 nucleotides long. It is a transcript of the gene named vesicle-associated membrane protein 3-like, with no coding region annotated. NCBI's taxonomy places the organism in Eukaryota, Metazoa, Mollusca, Bivalvia, Ostreida, Ostreidae. The record is from RefSeq and is a predicted model, not a curated record. The transcript is spliced from 7 exons.
UUGCUGACUUCUUGCUCAGGAACCCGGAUAAUAUGACGUCAUUGCCAUUCAAUCGCCAUUAUCCAUUAUAAUUUUUCAUCGACUGGAGAAUAUCGGACUUAAAGAGAUCCUUAAUCUCUGCACUUAUUCUUGAGAUAAAAUGUCUGCCCCUCCACAGAACCCCGUGGCCGGUCCAGGAGGGCCACCCAUGUCGACAGCCGGAGGCCCAGGGGGGCCACAACCAGCCCAGCCUAGUAAGCGCUUACAGCAAACUCAGGCCCAGGUCGACGAGGUUGUGGAUAUAAUGAGAGUCAACGUUGAUAAAGUGCUAGAGAGGGACCAGAAAAUUUCAGAACUAGAUGACAGAGCAGAUGCACUGCAAGCUGGGGCAUCACAGUUUGAAGCAAGUGCUGGCAAACUGAAGAGAAAAUAUUGGUGGAAGAACUGCAAGAUGUGGUUAAUUCUUAUUGCAAUAAUUGUUAUUAUAAUCAUAAUAAUAGUUGGUAAGUAAAUUUUUUUGUUAAUUGAACAGUUUUUAAUAGCACUAACUGAUAAUCAUGAGGAUCCUUUUGUUUUUCAUUUCAAAAUGCAUGUGAUGUUCACAGAAAUGAAAAUAAGUUGUUGACUGAUGCCAAACACAUUAAAAAUUUUAUUCAAAGUUACAUUAAAAAUGGCAUAUGUCAUGAGUAAUACAAUGUUUGAAAAAAAUGAAAGGAUCCAUCUACCCUCAACUUCAUGCUGGCAUGGGAGAAGGUAACAAUAGUAGCACAUUGUAACAAUUUGUCAUAUCAUUUUAACCAGGACACAAUUACAUGUAUAUAUCUUUUCAAAAAAAACUUAUCAUAAUCAAGGCAUCUUGAAAUUCUUUGUAAUAAUUCUGGUGACUAGAGAAGACUGCAUUUUGAUCUCUUGGAGUUCUCAACCUCUCCAAUUAUUAAAGGACUGUUUUAAUUGUUUCCCUUAUUAAACAAAGCAAAUUACUCUUUUGAUAUCUCAAACUACUAAUCUCUCAAAAUCGUCCUUCCCUUUCAGUAUUAACCAUGUUCUGUUAUGAAUAUUUUAUUAUUCAUUCACAAUUCACUCUUGAUAACUUGAGGUACUGUUGUUAUAAGAGACACUUCAUUAUAUGCAAUGCAAAUCUAUACUUGUGUAUGGUAACCAAUUAUUGUUAAAAUGAUUAUAAUCUAAUAAGGUUAGGCCAAUUCAACUUAAUUAAUAGAUUAUAUAACAAAGAUAAACGAGUCCCCCCCCCCCCCCCCCCCAACAGAUGCGCAUCAUUUAAUGCCAGAUGGAUAUCAAUCUAUGCUAUUUUCACAGAUUAAUUCCAGGUUAAGCUUUAAUUUCAAACAGAAAUAUACCUAACUUCUUCAAGAUUUACACCUGUAAGAAUGCGAGAAAUUAAGAAAACUAUGAUAUAGAUCUAUUUUCUUCACGUGGCUAUACCGGAAAUGUAAACAAGAAGUGUAAAUACCGGGGUCGGACAUGAAAUAUUCCGAAAAUCGCAAGUUUCGCAAAAUAAAAAAAAUCGGGGUGGGCCAAUUUUUGAGGGGCGGGCGGGGAUGAUAAUCUAUCAAUUAAGUUGAAUUGGCCUUAUGUGAUAAUUUAUAAUGAGAUGUCAUUCAUGGGAAUUUCAUCCAAGGGUACUACCCUUCUUUUGCCAAUUAAGAAAUAAAUUUCAUUAUAAUUAUAUUUACAUUUUACUUUCAUUUCUGUCUGAAAUCCUAGUCAUUAAAUAGACGUUCUUAUCGAGAUUAAUAUGCUCAUUGUUCACAAGCAGUGCAUUCAUGAAGAAAUGUCUAUCAUUACAAUCUGUAAAGAUAUCAAGGCGAAAACAUUGGAAAUAUAAAUAUUUUAGUAUGAAAUUUCUGAAGUAAUCAACAGUGAAGUCUGCAAAAGUGUCAUUUUUAUGAAGCUUAAAAGAACAUGAUACAUACUCAGGUUUUAGGUCUACUCAGGGUCAGUCAAGUGACCUCCUUUUGUAAUUGUUUUGUCCAUCAUGUGAACAUAUUCAACUUCUCAACAAAUUUUUACAAGACUGUAUUAUGAUAUUUGGGAUACUAAGGAACAUAGCAUUGUUAAUUUUGUGGCCUCUAUAGGGACAGACCUGUAACUUUCACUUUUGAUGCCAGGCACUAAGGGAAGGAACAGUCACUAUCUAUGUUAAACACGUUUAAUUUGACAAAUCGCUCGGAUUGAUCUUUUUUAUCUAUCAAACUUGGUGCAUAGUAAUAAUGACAGAGGAGAAAAUCUACUAUUCAUGUCUUGUAGGUUGGGAGUGUUGAUUCUAGGGCAGGGUACUGUGAUUCAUCGAGUAAAUAUAAUUUCUUGUCCCUAAAGAGUCGAGAUUUCCAACCAUAGGAUAGGGCUAUAUAGAUCAUUUAGUGAACAAAACAUUGAGUUUCUUGUUCACAUGAGCUGAAAGCUCAAGUGAGCUAUUCUGAGCACCUUUUGUCUGUGUGUGCGUCCAUAGAUCUGUCUAUCCGUCUGUAAACUUUUAAACAUUUUUGAAUUCUUCUCCAGAACCACUAGGCCAAUUUUAAUAAAACUUGGCACAAAUCAUCCUUGGGUAAAGAGGGCUCAAGUUUAUUCAAAGGAAGGGUCAUGCUCCCUACAAAAGGAGAUAAUCAAGAAAAUGCAAAAAUAUGUUGGGGUCAUUUAAAAUUUUUCUCAUGAACCAUUAGGCCAGAAAAAAUGAAGCUUGUGUGAAAGCUUCCUGACAUACUGUACAAACCAUGGCCCAUGGGGAUAGGAUGGGGCCACACUAGGGGCAUCAAAGUUUUACUCAGAAUAUAUAUGAAAAAAUCUUCUCAAGAACAGCAGGGUCAUGAUUGGUCAUAUUAAUAUGCAAGCACCUUCAGGCAGUGGAAAUUUAAGUUUGUUCAAUUCAGGAUCCCCAGGUUAGGAUGGGACCACAUUAGGAGAUCAAAGUUUUAUAUGGGAAUAUACAGGAAAUUGAUUAAACAAAUUCUUUUAAAGUGUACUAGGGACACACUAUUAUAUCAAAAUGCAAACAUUCCUAAGUUGUGUGGGUGCAAGAUUUUAUGCCCUUGAUACUAGAGUACCUUGUGAUUUUGACCUUGUAGUUUUAACUAACUUUUAAGAAAACCUAACAUAGACACUAUCUCGUGAACUAUUUAAGGUAGGGCUUUCAUAUUUUGUAUAUAGAUUCCUUAUUGCAAGACCUUACAUUUCAUACCAUCAUGAUCUUUGACCUUGUGACCUUGCCCUUAGAGUUUGGCAUAUAUUUCAAAACUUUGACAAAACUUAACCUUGCUCAUAACUUUUGAAUGGUGAGUGAUAUAUCUUUCAUGUUUUAUGUAAGAAUUUCUUGUGACAAAAUCUUUCUUUUGGUACCAAAGUUUGACCUUGUAAGUUUGAUCUUGGAUUUUGACCAACUUAUAAGAAAAGUUAACCUAGGCAAUAUCUCAUGAACUUUUAAAGGUAGCUAAGGCCAUCAUAUUUUGUAUAUAGAUUCCUUAUGGCAAGACCUUACAUUUCAUACCAUGAUCAUUGACCUUUUGACCUUGUAUCACGGUUAUGUGAUCUGUAGGGCUAGGUUGGGCCACAAUAUGGGGUCAAAAAUAUUUCAUGGGAAUAAAGAUUUUAAAAAAUCUUUAAAAUACAACAGCUGAACAACAGCUUACUCAAGUGAGCGAUGUUGCCCACUGGCCUCUUGUUUAAAAUUGUCUCCCUUUACUGAAGAUGUAGCAAACAAAGUAAGAGGUACAUACAAGAUUUAGAUGAUGUGGAGGAAUCACCAUUCUGUUUACAAAUCCAUAUGCAGACCUUCCCUUUCACUUUGCAUGUAGGCAACAAAUUUGUAAUAAAGAGACCUUAGAGUUUUGUCUUAACGUAAAGAUGGCUUAUCACAAAAAAAUGAGGCCCAUUCCUUUCUCACAGAGUUUGAAAGAUUGCACCAUCAACAUUUCCUAUAUACAUAGUACAAGGUUUUUGUGAAUGAUGAGUAUUCACAAACUCUGGUGACUGAAAACUAAAUGCAAAGUCAAGUAGAGCAGGGAGGCCUUAACCAAAAUUGUAAAUUUCAUGAUCCCUGGGGUAGGGGUUCUGACUCCAGGAUGGUGCCUAUUGAUUUGGGGGGGGGGGGGGGGGGGUGAAAAUUCUCUCCUGUCCUUUUGCCCACUGUAUUUUACAAAAUGACUAAUAAAAUUAAAUAAAUGUCCACUUCUAGUGCUUCAAAUGUAGUGUAAAAAAAUUUCAUAUAGUGAAAGUGUCUCUUGAAAUUUGUUGAUUUUUGGACCCUUGCAAACUAGAAUGAUGCAUCUUUUGAAUUUUUUUCUGAAGUUCUUGAGAUGUUGAAUUUUUUAGAGUCACAUGUAAUGGCUUUAUACUAAUCUAAUCAUACUUUCUUUUGACAAUGAAGUACAAUUUUGUUUCAUUGCAAUCUCCAGCUUGGGUGGCCUCUACUUAUGGUUAAUCAACAGAAUAUGGGCUGUUGCAGAUCAAAAGAACAAAAGCAGCGGAUAAUUCCACUUCGUGUUUGGAAACAUCAUUUGUAUUUCCUGUUUAGUGCUUAGGAACACACAGCAUGGUCUAUCUCAUUCAAUAUCAUAUGGAUACAAUAUUUCCCAUGUUAAAAUGUACAUCCAGUUUAAGUUCUAGUAAAAUUCAGACUGUGAA